GCAUGAGCAUUUAGUCAGGUGGUGAAGGAUGAUUAUUCUAGCCAGAACCCAAAAGGUACUGUUUUGGUGUGAAUUACUUUUUGAGGAUGGUAGGAAGAAAAUCCUGCAAUUUUGUUUUCCUAAAUUAUUUUGUUUGCAUGUAAAAGUAAUCAUUUUUUUUUAAUCAUGUGAAUUUAUUUAUAUGGAGAGUUUCCCAUUUUCCUUUUUUUGGACAACUCUCAAACGAUUGUUUUUUACUGUUUUGCAAAUUGCCAUAAAAAG
RNAcentral lists this unclassified non-coding RNA (261 nucleotides) under Hevea brasiliensis (rubber tree). Lineage: Eukaryota; Viridiplantae; Streptophyta; Magnoliopsida; Malpighiales; Euphorbiaceae. The record is from RNAcentral.